GAUGAACGCUGGCGGCGUGCCUAAUACAUGCAAGUCGAGCGAACAGACGAGGAGCUUGCUCCUCUGACGUUAGCGGCGGACGGGUGAGUAACACGUGGAUAACCUACCUAUAAGACUGGGAUAACUUCGGGAAACCGGAGCCAAUACCGGAUAAUAUAUUGAACCGCAUGGUUCAAUAGUGAAAGACGGUUUUGCUGUCACUUAUAGAUGGAUCCGCGCCGCAUUAGCUAGUUGGUAAGGUAACGGCUUACCAAGGCAACGAUGCGUAGCCGACCUGAGAGGGUGAUCGGCCACACUGGAACUGAGACACGGUCCAGACUCCUACGGGAGGCAGCAGUAGGGAAUCUUCCGCAAUGGGCGAAAGCCUAACGGAGCAACGCCGCGUGAGUGAUGAAGGUCUUCGGAUCGUAAAACUCUGUUAUUAGGGAAGAACAAAUGUGUAAGUAACUAUGCACGUCUUGACGGUACCUAAUCAGAAAGCCACGGCUAACUACGUG
This 497-nucleotide ribosomal RNA is filed under the name uncultured bacterium. RNAcentral's name for it is "partial 16S ribosomal RNA". It matches the Rfam family "Bacterial small subunit ribosomal RNA", at positions 28 to 507 of the family's 1533-position model. The record is from RNAcentral.